GGUUCACUCCUCCGCCCAGACCAAUCCACAAGGAGCUCUCCACAUACAUCAGUCUCUACACCAGCUUGGUGGACACCAACCAGGAGAAGAUUCGCAGAUAAUACUUAAGAAACCCUCUGGAUGUUUGUCUUCCCAUAUAAACUAGCAGAUUUCCUUCCCACUCCUCCUUACCACCUCCCCAGUCUACCUCCCAUCCAUUUGUUCCAGCAGGCACAUGUAUGUGAUGUGUGUGUAUUAACACAUGUCCACUGGCGUGUGAGUGUAUGUAUAAGUAUGAAGGAGGAUGCGCAUACAUGACUGUGCUCCUUUAUGUGGAAGCCCAAGGUCAUCAUGGGAAUCUUGAGUUCUCUUCCACUUUGCACGGUGAGACAGGGUCUCUAAGACAAACAGAGAGCUUUCCAAUAUGAUCAAUACGUUUUAUGAAGCAACUUGCUCCAGAGAUCCCUUGUCUCUGCUUCCUGAGGUUAGAAUAACAAGAUCUAAUGCAUGACACUUGAAAGAGUCAAAGAAACCACAUUCAUGGUGAUUUCUGUACAAACAGAAGCACAUUAAUACAGCAUGGAACCACGGAAUGAGCUGGCGUAUUGCACGGAAGACACCACUCUCCUCCAAACAAAUGGUGUGUUAAGUUCAGCUGCCAUCGCACGGACAGAACCGGGAGUUCACCUUAACUGCAUAAUGACUGAAUAGAAAUUCACUGUGAUUCCAUCGGGGAAUGCAGGUUUUAGAACUUCUGUCUUCCUAAACAUAACAGCUUACUAAAAAGAAAUUGUAUAUUAACCCCUUUGCUGGUGAUUAUUUUAAAAGGAAUAAAAUAAUAAAAUUUUCGGCUUUGUUAAAAAAAAAAGUACUUUGGUGAGUUCCCAAUAAAACCGGACUCGCUGAACAUAGCGGACAAUGAGGACUACUGAGAACUCAAGAACAAUGGCAAUGGGUUUUUGAUCCUACUGCACGUACUAACUUUGUGGGAGCCUAGGCAGUUUGGAUGCUCACCUUACUAGACCUGGAUGGAGGUGGGUGGUCCUUGGACUUCCCACAGGGCAGGGACCCUGA
This is a long non-coding RNA of Alexandromys fortis (reed vole), 1053 nucleotides long. RefSeq lists it as uncharacterized. The transcript is spliced from 5 exons. Lineage: Eukaryota; Metazoa; Chordata; Mammalia; Rodentia; Cricetidae. The record is from RefSeq and is a predicted model, not a curated record.